CUCAAAGGAAUUGACGGGGGCCCGCACAAGCGGAGGAGCAUGUGGUUUAAUUCGAUGAUACGCGAGGAACCUUACCAGGGCUCGAACGCAGGGGGGAUAUACCUGAAAGGGUAUAGCCAGCGAUGGUCGCCUGCGAGGUGCUGCAUGGUUGUCGUCAGCUCGUGCCGUGAGGUGUCAGGUUAAGUCCUAUAACGAGCGCAACCCCUAUCCAUAGUUGCCAGCGGGUAAAGCCGGGGACUCUAUGGGAACUGCCUGCGCAAGCAGAGAGGAAGGAGGGGAUGACGUCAAAUCAGCACGGCCCUUAUGUCCUGGGCUACACACGUGCUACAAUGGUCGGUACAGAGGGCAGCGACCACGUGAGUGGGAGCCAAUCCUUAAAAGCCGAUCUCAGUUCGGAUUGGAGUCUGCAACCCGACUCCAUGAAGUUGGAUUCGCUAGUAAUCGCGCAUCAGCCAUGGCGCGGUGAAUACGUUCCCGGCCCUUGUACACACCGCCCGUCAAGCCAUGGGAGCUGG
Molecule: ribosomal RNA, 515 nt
Filed under: uncultured Cytophagales Kmlps3-2
Lineage: Bacteria; Pseudomonadati; Bacteroidota; Sphingobacteriia; Sphingobacteriales
Description: bacterial SSU rRNA
Rfam family: Bacterial small subunit ribosomal RNA
Source: RNAcentral